GGCUUGUGGCGACCAAGCGUUCAUAGCGACGUUGAUUUUUGAUCCUUCGAUAUCGGCACUUCCUAUCAUUGCGAAGUAAAAUUCGGGAAGCGUUGGAUUGUUCAUCCGUUAGAAGGGAACGUGAGCUGGGUUUAGACCGUCGUGAGACAGGUU
This 153-nucleotide non-coding RNA is filed under the name Danaus plexippus plexippus. Its description in RNAcentral is "Eukaryotic large subunit ribosomal RNA". It matches the Rfam family "Eukaryotic large subunit ribosomal RNA", at positions 2832 to 2984 of the family's 3401-position model. The record is from Rfam by way of RNAcentral. Lineage: Eukaryota; Metazoa; Arthropoda; Insecta; Lepidoptera; Nymphalidae.